Molecule: ribosomal RNA, 1260 nt
Filed under: uncultured Candidatus Saccharibacteria bacterium
Lineage: Bacteria; Candidatus Saccharimonadota
Description: bacterial SSU rRNA
Rfam family: Bacterial small subunit ribosomal RNA
Source: RNAcentral
AGUUCGAGCGGUAACAUGUUUCUCACCUUGGUCCUAACUUUUUAGUUGGUGCCGAAGUGAGAAAUGAUGACGAGCGGCGAACGGCUGAGUAACACGUGGGAACAUGCCCCAAAGUGAGGAAUAACUGCCCGAAAGGGUAGCUAAUGCCGCAUAUGAUCUUCGGAUUAAAGGAUUUAUCCGCUUUGGGAGUGGCCCGCGCACGAUUAGAUAGUUGGUAAGGUAAUGGCUUACCAAGUCUACGAUCGUUAGCUGGUCUGAGAGGAUGACCAGCCAGACUGGAACUGAGACACGGUCCAGACUCCUACGGGAGGCAGCAGUGAGGAAUCUUCCACAAUGGGCGAAAGCCUGAUGGAGCAACGCCGCGUGCAGGAUGAAGGCCCUCGGGUCGUAAACUGCUUUUAUAAGUGAAGAAUAUGACGGUAACUUAUGAAUAAGCACCGGCUAACUACGUGCCAGCAGCCGCGGUCAUACGUAGGGUGCAAGCAUUAUCCGGAGUGACUGGGCGUAAAGAGUUGCGUAGGUGGACAAGUAAGCGAAGAGUGAAAGCCAACGGCUCAACCGUUUGGAUUAUUAUUCGUACUGCUUGUCUCGAGAAUGGUAGAGGUAACUGGAAUUUCUAGUGUAGGAGUGAAAUCCGUAGAUAUUAGAAGGAACACCAAUGGCGUAGGCAGGUUACUGGACCAUUUCUGACACUGAGGCACGAAAGCGUGGGGAGCGAACCGGAUUAGAUACCCGGGUAGUCCACGCCGUAAACUAUGGAUACUAGCUGUUGGGGGUAUCGACCCCCCCAGUAGCGAAGCUAACGCGUUAAGUAUCCCGCCUGUGGAGUACGGUCGCAAGACUAAAACAUAAAGGAAUUGACGGGGAGCCGCACAAGCGGUGGAUUAUGUUCUUUAAUUCGAUGAUAACCGAAGAACCUUACCAGGGAUUGACAUCCCAAGAAUUUUGUCGAAAGACGAGAGUGCUUUAUUGAACUUGGUGACAGGUGAUGCAUGGCCGUCGUCAGCUCGUGUCGUGAGAUGUUUGGUUAAGUCCAUCAACGAGCGCAACCCUUGUGAUUAGUUGUAUUUUUCUAAUCAGACUGCCCCGGCAACGGGGAGGAAGGAGGGGAUGAUGUCAGGUCAGUAUUUCCCUUACACCCUGGGCUAGAAACGUAAUACAAUGGCCAGUACAAUGCGCAGCGAAGCCGCGAGGUGAAGCAAAUCGCAUCAAAAUCUGGUCCCAGUUCGGAUUGGAGGCUGAAACUCGCCUCCAUGAAGU